UUCUUCGGGGUUGGGUGAUCAGCAUAGCUGAGAUUCCCUACCGGCGGUUAUAGUCCGCGACCCGCUUCGGCGGCUGAUUUGGUGAAAUUCCAAAACCGACAGUAUAGUCUGGAUGAGAGAAGA
This 123-nucleotide non-coding RNA is filed under the name Blautia luti. Its description in RNAcentral is "FMN riboswitch (RFN element)". It matches the Rfam family "FMN riboswitch aptamer (RFN element)". Rfam says of the family: The RFN element is a highly conserved domain that is found frequently in the 5'-untranslated regions of prokaryotic mRNAs that encode for flavin mononucleotide (FMN) biosynthesis and transport proteins. This element is a metabolite-dependent riboswitch that directly binds FMN in the absence of proteins. The record is from RNAcentral. Lineage: Bacteria; Bacillati; Bacillota; Clostridia; Lachnospirales; Lachnospiraceae.